Molecule: ribosomal RNA, 256 nt
Filed under: uncultured prokaryote
Description: partial 16S ribosomal RNA
Rfam family: Bacterial small subunit ribosomal RNA
Source: RNAcentral
AAUACGUAGGGGGCGAGCGUUGUCCGGAUUCAUUGGGCGUAAAGCGCGCGUAGGCGGCUUCGCAAGUCGGCCGUGAAAUCUCCGGGCUCAACUCGGAGGGGUCGGGCGAGACUGCGGGGCUCGAGGUGGGCAGAGGGCAGUGGAAUUCCGGGUGUAGUGGUGGAAUGCGUAGAGAUCCGGAGGAACACCAGUGGCGAAGGCGGCUGCCUGGGCCUGGCCUGACGCUGAGGCGCGAAAGCGUGGGGAGCGAUCCGGA